This 7888-nucleotide long non-coding RNA is filed under the name Vitis vinifera (wine grape). RNAcentral describes it as "long non-coding RNA (VVIN_LNC005939)". Lineage: Eukaryota; Viridiplantae; Streptophyta; Magnoliopsida; Vitales; Vitaceae. The record is from RNAcentral.
UCGUUGUGGCCUUGAGGUGCACGCCGCAUAUGUCGAGGAGCCCAUGUGUGCGUGCUAGUGUGCCUUCCAAGUGUCUUAGGCACGCCCAAAGCCGUGCCAUGGCGCCCUUUUGGUGCGGCCAAGGCUUGGCCUUGGUGCCCCCUUGAGUCACCCACCUCCUCCUUAAAGAGCAAUACAAACCAUUCUCAAGAUGUCCGGAGGAGACAUUAGACCCCCUUGAGGGUCUUAAUAGAAUAUUAAAAUAAAUAAUAUUUAUAUUCCAUAAAAACCUCACCCUUCAUCUGCAUUGUCACUAACGUGCCUUGUGUGCAGAAUGUGCGCCAAAUGUGCGUGCGGGUGUGGCCUGGUGUGUGUAUGGGUGCGACUUUGUGCGCGUGUGGGUACGAGACAGCUGUGCGUGGGGCGCAGGACUAGUGCGGGCCUGCCCUGUGCCUGGUGCUCGUCUGGUGCACACCAAAACCUUCAGGCUUUCCUUGCUUCUCCACUUGGGAUCCUCACGGGUGCAAGGCCUAACCAUGAGGCCUUUUUCUUCGUCAUUGGGUCAAGAGGCUAAAGGGCUAACAAACCCACCCCCGCUUACUGAAGUUGACGCCCUCGUCGACUGCAAGUAUGCCUGAAUCGCCUUCUCAAACUGCCACAAGGUAACAUAUCUCUUCCAAGUAGUUUAUGAUUUUGAAGUCCUCUUCCACUGAACAAGAAAAUCAGUUCGUCGAUUCUUUCUGCUACAUCCCAUGGUCCUAUGAUCCAAGAUCUUCUCCACCUCUUGAUCAAAUUGUUUCAUGACCAAGGGAGGGGCUCGCUUUGUCUGUACCCUCUUUGUGUCUGGGUCUUCAUAGUAUGGUUUCAGGAAACUAACAUGGGAGGUCGGGUAAAACUUGAUCAUUUCUGGUAGUUUCAACAUAUAAGCCACCCGCUCCACCCUUUUUAUCACCUCGAACAGUCUGUCAUAUUUAGGAAUCAGACCCCUAUGCGUUGUUUUGUUGCUAAUCUUCUUCCAUAUCUAAGGAGUCAAUUUCAGGAGGACUUUGUCUCCAACCUGAAAUUCCAAGGGCCACCUAUCAUGGUUUGCAUACUUCUUCAUCCGUUUGACUACUUUUUCCAAACUGUCUUGGGCCUCAUCGAACAUCUCCUUUCGAGACCGAGCCAACUUGUAUGCUGUAGGGUUAUUUCCUCCAGUCUUUUGCUUAGCUACCUCCAAAAGCAUCCUUGGCUGUACCCCAAUAGCCAAUUCAAAGGGACUCAUCCCUGUUGCUGAACUUCUCUAUAAAUUGUAACAUAAUUGGGCAAUGUCAAGUAAAUCCACCCAGUUCUUUUGUGUUGCUGUCACAUAGUGCUGGAGAUACUCCUUCAAUAAGACAUUAAUCCUCUUUGUCUACCCAUUAGUCUGAGGAUGAUUGGCUGUAGAAAACUUCAACUUUGAACCCAAGAGUUUGAACAACUCAAUCCAGAACAGGCCUGUGAACUGUGUAUCCCGAUCACUCACUAUGCCUCGAGGCAACCCAAAGUGCUUCACAACAUGGCUGAAGAACAACCUAGCCUCUUCUUUUGUGGGACAUGCAUCAAGAGCAAGUAUAAACAUAGAGUAUUUAGAAAAUCUAUCCACAACAACAAAGAUAGAUUUGAAGUCACAAACCUUUGAGAAUCCGAUGAUGAAGUCCAUGGAGAUGCUUUCCCAAGGCUUCUCUGGAAUGAUGGUGGGGGGUGCUGCAGCAACCUUACAACCUUUUUCCUCUCGGUCUUGUCCAUUUGACAGACUAGGCAGGAUCUCACAUAAGCCCGUACAUCCUCACUCGUCUUUGGCCAGUAGUAGGAUUUGGCAAGCAAUGGCAAAGUCCUUUCUUCACUGGGAUGGCCUGCCCAUCUAGCAUCAUGAGUUUCCCGCAACAGUUCCUUCCUCAAGCCACCUGCAGGGACUUACCACCUUCCUCCUUUAGCCAUAAGGAGGUCUCCUUCAAGCCAAUACCUCCUAAUUGCUCCCUCUUUGACUUGUUGUCUUAGCUUGCUAUAGGCAGCAUCAAGCUCUGCAGCCUGCUUGAUCCUUUCAUUGAAGUCAAAGAUGACUUUUUAGAGGGCAAUGAUAUAAUCAAUCACUUCCUUUCUGCACAAGGCAUCAACCACUGUGUAGUGUCUUCUUGGUUGAUGCAACCAUUCAAACAUGAAGUCAGCCAGGAACUCCUGCCAUUGAGCCUAUUUGAGACUUAGCUUCUUCUGUGUUUUGAAGAAGGUGUUGGUCACAUUGUCAAUGACUACUGUGAAGAUGCUCCCAAGCAGGUAAUACCUCCACUGCUGCAGACAAUGAACCACUACAGUCAUCUCCUUCUCGUGAGUGGAGUAUUUUUGUUCAACACUAUUCAAUUUCAUGCUUUCGAACGCCACAAGGUGUGCUUCCUGCACCAAGACCCCACCCAAGGCCCUAUUUGAGGCAUUUGUUUGGACUUCAAAUGACAAGUCAAGAUCUGGCAACCGUAACACAGGCUUAGUGGAGAUGGCUUUCUUCAGGCCUUUAAAGGCCAUCUGACACCGCAUGCUCUAGUCUCACUUCUUGUUAUUUUUUAGUAGGUCAAUGAGGGGAGACACCAUUUUUGAGUAUCCUUUGAUGAACCUUCUGUAAUAGUUGGUUGGAUUGAGGAAGGAUUGUAACUCUGUCAACUUGCUAGGGACUGGCCACUCCUUAAUAGCUUGCACCUUGCCUUCAUCCAUUUUGAUCAGACCUGCACUGAUCUUGUGUCCUAGAAAUGAGAUUUGCUCCUGAGCAAAUUCUCAUUUAUCUAGCUUUACAUAAAGCCUAUGCUCCCUCAGUCGUUGGAACUCCAUCCCCAUAUGCUUUUCAUUUUCUGUUAUAGUCUGACUGUACACUACAAUAUCGUUUAGAUAGACUACCACAAAUGCAUCCAAGUAAUCAAACAAGACAUCAUUCAUCAAAUUAUAAAAAGUAGCAAAAGCAUUUGUUAGCCUAAAGGGCAUUACCAGAAACUUGAAUGAGCUAUACCGAGUUACGCAAAUGGUUUUCUCCUCAUUUCGUGCUGCAAUCCACACUUGCAAAUAGCUCGAUCUCAGAUCCAACUUAGUGCAGUAUGAAGUUUUUGACAAUUUGCCAAACAACUCGGGUACCAACAGGAUCGAGUAUUUGUUCUUUAUGGUGACUUUGUUGAGGGCCUUGUAGUCCAAACACAUGUGCAAAGAGCCAUCAUGCUUUUUCUGGAACAACACUGGUGCACCAUAUGGAGCCCUCGAGGGUUGAAUCAGGCCUACAUUCAACAACUCUUUCAACUAUUUCCAUAGUUCCAGUAACUCUAUAGGGGACAUCCUGUAAGGGGCUUGAGCUGGGGGUUUUGUUCCAGGCAACAGUUCUAUCUUGUGGUCAAUGGGUCGCCGGGGUGGCAACCCCUUGGAAAGUUCUGUAGGCAUCACAUCUUUGAACUCCUUAAGAAUCUUGACCAUUGAAUCAAGGAAUUCCAUAGACUGCCCCUCCUUGAUCUUGAUCAAAGCUGCAACAUAGGUCUCUUGACCUCUCUUCAAACCCUUCUUUAAUUGGAUAGCAGAUAACAUCUCAAGCUGACCUUUAUCGCCAUUGUUUGCCCUUAAGGCCUGCACAAAGCAGGGCUGACUUCAUUUAAUACCAUCAAGCCACUAAGAUGCGGGAUCAAGGCCACCUUAGCCUUCAAGAAGAAGUCUAUGCCCAAGAUUAGAUUGAAAUUGUCCAAGGGCACACAGAGUAAGCUGCAAGUGCCCUUCUAGUCAACAACUUGCACAGUUCUUGGCUACACCAUGGAUCUUUUAGGCUUUGCUAUUGACUAUUUUGAUUUGACUGGUGUCAUCUUCCAGUUUCAAUCCCUAUUUGGUUGCCUUUUUGGUGGCCACAAAAUUGUGAGUGACCACUAUUUACUAUAGCCUUGACUUGCACACCAUUCACAACUGCAUGCACAUGCAUUUGUGACUUUUGGACAGGAGUCUCACCAUGAAUAACAUUUAAGAGUUGCAGUAGGUUGACUCUAGGAGGGGUCUCUGAGUCAGAAUCUCCCUUGUCGUCUGUAAUCACAAGGGUUGAGAGUUUCUCUCUUUUUGGGGCAGUCCCUGGCUUUGUGUGGGUCAUUGCAAAUGAAGCAUCCUGCCAUCCGGGUGGUUUGCUGCACAAAUUUGGUGGUCUUCUCCGCUGGUUUGGCCACUGCAUCACCCUUCCUAUUUUGUUUCUUCCACCUUGACUUCCUAGAAGUCUUGCCCUCAAUCUUAGCCUUUUUGCCUCCUUAUGACUUAGAUUUUUGCAUAGUGGAGAUGGUGCCACCCAUCUUAUAAUCCACUAAGCAAUCUAUUGCAGCCAUGGUAGCAGGGAGAUCAUGAACCCCUCCGAAGUUCAGUCUGAGCCCAUUCGUGCGGUCCGGACAUGAAAUUGAAGAGCUUGUCUUCUUCUGUCAUGGUUUUAAUGUCCAACAUCAAGGAACUGAAUUCCUUGACAUAUUUCAUCACGGAUCCGGUGUGUCUUAGUCUCUUCAAUGACUUUCUGGCCACCCAAGCAAUGUUGGUAGGGAGGAAUUGGUCCUUCAACUCCUUCUUCAGAGUUUCCUAAGUGGUGAUUUGGGGCCUUCCAGACUUUGCAUCAUCCUUCAUCCUCGUUCGCCACCAGAGUUUUGCAUCACCAGUCAGAUACAUACUAGUAAUGAAAAUUUUCUCACCAUCAGAGACGUGAGCAACCUUAAAGAAUUGCUCCAUGUCUUAUAAGAAAUUCUUCAACUCCUUUACAUUCAUGUUACCAUUGAAACCCUUAAGCUCUAGGACCCAGAUUUUGGGAGGGGCUUCAGAGCUUGAGGAGGAUCCCUGCAACACUGCCUUCUUGAGGACUGUAAUGUCUUCUCCAUAAGACCGUGGGGUGCCUUUGAAGUCAUCCAUCAGGGACUGGAUAUCUGUCUUCAAACCAACAACCUUCUCCUCAAAGAAUUGAUCAUGUGUCUCCAACAAACUUCUCCGCACUUGGAUUUCCCCCACAGUGUGCUCUACCCACGAGGCCACAAUGCCAUUCUCACUUGGCCAUUCUCCUAGCACUUCUUCCAUCCGAGCAAUCCUUUUCCGCAAGACUUCCGUUGCACUACCAUUAGCCAUCUUUGGUACUUGCUUUGAUACCAUUUGUCGCACCCCUUGGAAUCACCCAAAAAUUUUCACUGAGUGUGUGGUGUUAAGACACCUUUCUUAGCCAAUCUUUCCCUUAAGCCUUUAUAAAAGUAGCGUAACUAGGCCAAAGCAAUUAUGAGAAUGCUUUCCAACUUGUGUUAUUCUAAAGAUACAAAAUCGUUCCAAAGUUUCUCAACACAUUGCAAGAGUCGGAGACUACAAUGCCUACACCCUAAGCAUUCAAUAGAUGCAUACAACACUUUGUCUCAAGUAUGCAGGGAGGUUUUUAUAAGAGACACCCAGCCUACCUGCUGGAGGUUAUCUGGAGACAUGCUUCCCUCCGAACUAAGGUGUCCUUUCGCACCAGCCAUUAGUUUCUCAGCUAUCUACCAGUUCCUUGUUGCUGAGUUUAGCUACUGCCAUCUCAUGUGCUGCACUGAUCAAUCCUGCUGCCACUAGCCAACUGCUAUUCCUUCAAGCCCUUUCUCAUUGAGCCGUUGGUGAGUCCUCCUAACAAGAUGCCUCCCUCCAUCGUAAGGUGCCUCCUAUGAACGGGUGCUCAUCAAGGUGUCUCUGACUAGGCUCUCUGAAUCAGCAACGUGCUCUCAUAAGCUGAUCAAGUGUGUUUGGUGCAUCAACGUGCCUUCCCCACACUGAUGCUCAAGCCCAUGCCAUGUCAAGGUGCCCAUGGCUUAAGGCAUGUGAUAGCUCCCUUUGUCAGUCAAGGCUCACUGUUGCCUUGUCCAUGCCAUGCACUAACAAUCUUACUUGUUGCCUCAGUUUCCCACCAAGUCACUGAUCCACGUCAUUGGGCCAUGGCAUUGCGCCCAUGACUAUUCUAUCCCCUUGCAUAGGGCAGUGUGCCCUUGUGCCAUGCAUAGGCAUCAUGAGUCUGAGUUGGCUGCAUGUCUAGUGCCCCACCAAGCUAUGGCAUUGCACCCAUGGCUUCUCGAACCGGCUUAGUGCAGGAGUCUUUUAGGCGUCCUCGUGCCAGCUCGGGGAAGAGGUAGUUCACACCAAGCCCCGUGUUGUUGUGGCCAUGGGGUGCACACCACAUAUGUCGUGGAGCCCAUGUGUGUGUGCUAGUGUGCCUUCCAAGUGUCUUAGGCACGCCUAAUGCCGUGCCAUGGUGCCCCUUGGUGUGGCCAAGUCUUGGCCUUGGUGCUCCCUUGAGUCACCUACACUUCCCACCUUAAAGAGCAAUACGGGCCAUUCUCAAGAUGUCUGGAGGAGACAUCAGACCCCCUUGAGGAGACGUAAUGGAAUAUUAAAAUAAAUAAUAGUUAUAUUCCAUAAAAACCUCACCCUUUGUUUGCACUAUCACCAACGUGCCUCAUGUGCAGGAUGUGCGUCAAGUGUGCGUGUGAGUGCGGACUGGUUCACGCGCGGAUGUGGGACUAGUGUGCGCACGGCUUGCGCCUGGUGCUCGUUUGGUGCACAUGUGGCCUGCGUCUGGUACGCCCGCGACUUGCAUCAGUCUUCUCAUUUGGCUUCUUGGGGCGUGAACCACCAAAGCUUCAGGUUUUCCCUGCUUCUCCACCUGGGAUCCUCAUGGUUGCAAGGCCUACCCAUGAGGCCCUUUUCUCCGUCAUCGGGUCAAGAGGCUAAGGAGCUGACAACAACCAAGAAGGCCAUUCCCUUUGUGAAGUCCUUUUUAUCUUUUGCUAUGAUUUGGGGACUUGAUUUUACUUUCUUCUAAAGAAAUUUGGGCUUAAGCUGCUCAUUCUAAAGUGUGACUUGGGGGUGGUUCUAGUGAAUAGAUAUAGUAUGUGCAAACAAAUAAUAACAUCCUCAUUUAUGUAAGAAGUUUAUGAUUUUUAUUGUCCUCCCUUUUUGGGUAUGAUGGUGGACUCUCUUUAAAUGGUUUAAGGAACAAUUGCUUGGAUGGCAUGGUAGUUUUGUGGGAAAGAAUGAAGGAGUUUUGGAGGAUGACUCUUCUAUGCUUAUUUUGGUGUGUAUGGAAAGAGAAGAGUAGGACCUUUAAAGGUGUUGAGCUAUUGGAAGGAGCAUUGACAUAUCAAUUCCUUUCUUUGAGGUGAGUGGAGAUGGUAACGGUGGUCUAUGAUGCUUAGAUCCUUGAAUUUCACCUAACGUACAUGUGUCGACAUGACAUGACCUGGUUGUGGGUAUUCAAAUACUCCUAUUUUGCUUUGGGUGUGGCUGUUUGAUUUUUUCAUUGAUAUUCUCUUAUUCUUUGAAUUUUCUUAGUAAUAAUUACAUUUGAUAAAAAGAAGAGUUAAUUGAAAAGUGAAUUUUUGUAAGAAUAUUUAGGAAUGUGAGGAAAAAAGGGGAUUAGAGGAUAAAGAUGAGAGCUUUUAAAAAGGAUAUCUUCCCUUCCGAUUUUUCUUCUUUAUCUAUCAAAAAAAUCUUCACUUCCAAUUUAUUUUUAAUUAACUUUUCUUUUAUUAUGCUGUAUCCCAAUACUUGUGUCCUUUUUUUGGAUCCCUUUUAGCUAAGUCCCUGUAUCCUAAAAUUUGAGUUGUGAAGGAUCAAACACCUAGACACAUACGCAUAUCCAAUGGGUCUCAUUCUUCUUUUCUGGAUUUGAUUGUUUGGGUAAUGGGGUAGGUGGCAUUUUGGCCUAUUGUACCUUUUCUCUCUCUAAAGUUGUCGGGUGAUGUGCUUUGUAGAGUCCCCAUGUACAAGGGUGCAGCCCCUUUUCUGUUAGGUGCUUUUCAUUAGUAUUCUAUUUGCUUAUAAAAAAAAAGGAACGAAAAAAGAAAAAAGAAAAAAGGAUAGAAGGCGAAAGCACCUUGUAGGAAGAGAAUCAAAGCACAGAAGGUAC